RNAcentral lists this ribosomal RNA (120 nucleotides) under Pteropus vampyrus (large flying fox). Lineage: Eukaryota; Metazoa; Chordata; Mammalia; Chiroptera; Pteropodidae. The record is from RNAcentral.
GUCUAUGGUCAUGCUACCCUGAAUAAAUUAGAUCCUGUCUGAUCUCAGAAGGCUAAGGCACGAUCGAGCUUGAUAGUACUUGGAUGGGAGACCACCCUAGCAAGACCGGUGCUGUAGACA